UGGGGAAUAUUGGACAAUGGGGGGAACCCUGAUCCAGCCAUGCCGCGUGUGUGAAGAAGGUCUUCGGAUUGUAAAGCACUUUAAGUUGGGAGGAAGGGCAGUAAGCGAAUACCUUGCUGUUUUGACGUUACCGACAGAAUAAGCACCGGCUAACUCUGUGCCAGCAGCCGCGGUAAUACAGAGGGUGCAAGCGUUAAUCGGAAUUACUGGGCGUAAAGCGCGCGUAGGUGGUUCGUUAAGUUGAAUGUGAAAGCCCCGGGCUCAACCUGGGAACAGCGUCCAAAACUGGCGAGCUAGAGUAGGGCAGAGGGUGGUGGAAUUUCCUGUGUAGCGGUGAAAUGCGUAGAUAUAGGAAGGAACACCAGUGGCGAAGGCGACCACCUGGGAUCAUACUGACACUGAAGUGCGAAAGCGUGGGGAGCAAGCAGG
RNAcentral lists this ribosomal RNA (429 nucleotides) under Pseudomonadota bacterium. Its description in RNAcentral is "Proteobacteria bacterium partial 16S ribosomal RNA". It matches the Rfam family "Bacterial small subunit ribosomal RNA", at positions 355 to 776 of the family's 1533-position model. Lineage: Bacteria; Pseudomonadati; Pseudomonadota. The record is from RNAcentral.